AGUGAACGCUGGCGGUAGGCCUAACACAUGCAAGUCGAACGGCAGCACAGUAAGAGCUUGCUCUUACGGGUGGCGAGUGGCGGACGGGUGAGGAAUACAUCGUACUCUACUUUUUCGUGGGGGAUAACGUAGGGAAACUUACGCUAAUACCGCAUACGACCUACGGGUGAAAGCAGGGGAUCUUCGGACCUUGCGCGAUUGAAUGAGCCGAUGUCGGAUUAGCUAGUUGGCGGGGUAAAGGCCCACCAAGGCGACGAUCCGUAGCUGGUCUGAGAGGAUGAUAAGCCACACUGGAACGGAGACACGGUCCAGACUCCUACGGGAGGCAGCAGUGGGGAAUAUUGGACAAUGGGCGCAAGCCUGAUCCAGCCAUACCGCGUGGGUGAAGAAGGCCUUCGGGUUGUAAAGCCCUUUUGUUGGGAAAGAAAAGCAGCAGGUUAAUACCCCGCUGUUCUGACGGUACCCAAAGAAUAAGCACCGGCUAACUUCGUG
Molecule: ribosomal RNA, 492 nt
Filed under: uncultured bacterium
Lineage: Bacteria
Description: partial 16S ribosomal RNA
Rfam family: Bacterial small subunit ribosomal RNA
Source: RNAcentral